AGUCUCAACAGUAAGCGGUUUUCCCCAAGUUUUCCAGGCCUUCGCGGUCUCAGCUGCCUAGUUUGGGCUGAGACGAUUGAGCCUGGAUAGGACCACUGACCCCUCAGCUGGGUCUGCACAGGCCUGGGGACCUUGUGAUGUUUGGAGGCCUGGAGCCUAGUUGUACCUGUGCACAGGAACCACUGGGCACCUUUCUAAAUCGGGAUUCCCGGCCUCCCCUGGCUGCCUGCGCACCGCACCCCCGGUUCCCCACGCCCCCUCGUUUCCCAUGCCCUGUGGAAUCGCAUCCACAUCUCUCACGCCCUCUGUUCCCUGCGUCCACGCCCCACACGCCCACGCCCCCACGCCCUGCGCUCCCACGCCCUGCGCUCCCACGUCCACGCCCCCCACGCUCUACAACCUUACGUUCACGCCCCCCACGCCCUGCGCUCCCACGUCCACGCCCCCCAGGGCCACACCCCCAUGCUCUGCGACCUCGGGUCUAGCCCCACUCCCACCAGUGUUCCCACAUCCACGCUCCCCACGCCCUGAGUCCCCAAGUCCACGCAGCCCGGGUCAGCUGUUCGCUGCUUCUUUCCUGUCAGUCCUUGGGCUUCGCUGAGGCGUUUUGGAAGCUUGCUGAGCCCUCUCGUCUCGCUGGGCACAGUCUAGCACCUCCGCUGUGACGGUUAUAUUAUACUGCAAACCAGCAGCAGCAGGUGAGAGGACAAGGACCCCAAAGGAUCCUUCAGGUCCCCAGUGGCCACAGCUGACCUGCCCCACAGACCUGCUGCUGCUCCCGCUGGCCCACCUGACCGAGGCGCACCUCUGUGCAUUCACUGCUUCCACUGAGUGUGUCCCUUCUGACCGGGGAAAACGAUCUGGAUACUGUUUAAAAGUUCCUUCAGAUGUGUUUUUCAUCCAUUCGCUGUGGAAGGGAUAUUAUGAAUAUUCAGGGAAAAGAUAGCCUGUGACCCCAACUGUCGAACUGUUUCAACACAGCGAGCAGCAAAGUGAACACGACCUACAUUGAAGCCUCCCAGGGGGAUCUGAAGUUGACAGGAGUUUACAAGAAGGAGGCCCACUUAUUUCUGAAAGCUUUUCAGAUUAAAGAGCCAGUGGAUAUUUUCAUCAGCAAUUUUGAGAAUGACAACUGGGGACUGGAUGGUUAUGUAUCAUCCAGACUUGAAAGGGAAGGGUUUACUUUUCAAGGUGACAUACACAGAAAAGACUGGGAAAUAUAAGCUGGAAAGGCAAGGUAUGCUGCACUUACGUGAUUUUUCAAAGCAAGUAUCAGAUUGGUCUGCAGAUGACUGAGCUGAGUGUGAUAGAAAAGACGUGAUUUAAAAGAAACAGAAACAAAAAUAAUGGGAAAGACUCAUGUAUUUGGAAAAAAGUCCCCUUCACUGGCAGCAAAAUAGAAAAUAUCAGCUGGUAUAAAUGCAAUAAAUAUGCAAGACACAGAAUAUCCUUAAUUUACAAAGAGAUAUUUUUGAAAAACAGGAAAAAAGGCAAAGUGGAAAUGCAAAAGAAUAAACAAACUACGUUACCCCAAGAAUAUCAUUAAAUAUAAAAUGGCCAACAAACUAUGAAAAGAUCUUAACUUGAAAAAUAUGUAUUAUGACAAUAAAGGUAGAUCAUUUUCAGCUAUGAGAAUGUUGAAGUUUCUUAACAAUGAUUUGGGGUGGUCUAGAAAAAGGCACCUGAAUGUUCAUUUUUGGUGAGUGUGUGAAAUGUAUACAAUUUGACAGUAUUCUUUUAUCAACGAUUCUACCUCUAAAAUUUUAAUCGACAAAUGUGAUCAUUUUUUUUUGCAUAUUCAGGUAUGUGUAUAGUAGGAUUAUUUUUAAUACAUGAAAUCAGAAAUAACCUGGGUAUCUCACACAUCUAUCUUAAAUGAAUUGCUUCUUACAUCAAUCUUAUACAAUGUGUUACAUUAAAUAGAAGACAGCUUAGUAUAUGUCACUAGAGAACAAAGAUUACAUAAUGAUGUAGAAAGAUGUUCAUGACAUACAUGAGAACGAAGUUUGUUUUAGACAGAAGAGACAAAUGUGCCUGCCUUCUUUAUGUCUAUCUCAAGUACUAACUAGACAUGAAAAAUGUUUGGAAAAAACAGUAGAUGUGAAGCUUACCUUAUCUACUUGCUAGUUUUGUGAUCCAGGAGGAAUUACAACAUUCUUGAGCCUAUUUCUUCGUCUGAAAUCUCAGUAAAGAGUCAGUUCCCUAUUGCUGUCAAGAUUGAGAGUCAGUAUGAGGGUUUGCUUUGUGCUAAAGCUCUUCUCACACACAUCUUCACUCAUGUUGCUACUAACACAGAUGAGAAGCAGCAUCUCUCACGGAGAUGAGAUGAUGAGCACUACGUUUCUCCUGAAUAGUAUCAGCUACUUUCUACUUUACUUACAGAGUGCUACUAACAUAUUAAUUGUACACAGAAGAGUACUUCAAUGUAGGAUUUGACACUGAGCAGCCUUUCAGAGGAAAGUAUAGUACUUGGCAAUGGAUGUCCCUGAUGUACUCAUGUCAUAAAACCUUUAUCAAUAUCCUGAGGGAAAUAUAUACUAACUGUGUAAUAUCACACUUGAAAAACAAAAAACUUGACCAAAAGGGAUAAUUAAUCAUAAAAUACUCUAAAUUCGCCUUUCCAAACUAAGACCUUUUACAUAGAAAAGCUUUAAAUUACAGUCAGCCAUCAAUGAGAUGGUGCUUUCAGUGGGGUUCUAUUAUUUUGAGAUAAUGAAAAUAGGCUAACACUAAUGAUAGUGAAGUUUUCUCUUGCUCUGAGCCAAAUCCUGUGGUUAUCUGCCCUCCUCUCUCCAAGACACACUCUCUAGUAAUUUGCGUCUACGAACACCCCAGCAAGCCAUGCACUAUACUCUGUGGAUGUCGGAGUUUACUGGUCCAGUCAGCCUGACGGGAACCAUCACUUUGCUAUUUUUUUUGCACCGCCCCAUUUCUUUUUAAUCUAACAAAACAGCAGCUUGCUUUAACAAGUAAUCUUUCUUCUCAUGUGAUGAUGAGCUUAUUGUCAGAAAAAACAAUUUCCCUCACAAAAUAAUUUGAAUCACAAGCAAGCCCCCCAUUCAACUAAUGAGAAAAGUCUGUGUGUAAGUAAUGCUUCAACAGGAGCCAUUCAUUUCAGAGUUAUGGCCACACUCUGUUUUUAUGGAUAAAAAUAAACCACCUCUUAAUUGUCUCCAGUCAGUAGAUAAAC
Bos taurus (domestic cattle) is the source of this 3190-nucleotide long non-coding RNA. NCBI's taxonomy places the organism in Eukaryota, Metazoa, Chordata, Mammalia, Artiodactyla, Bovidae. The record is from Ensembl.